UCGGUUUACCAAGCCAGGACGCGGCCGCCUUCCUCACGUAAUCCCCUCAAUUAGAAGGCACUUCAGCCUGAAGAGGGGCGACUGAGCUAAUACACAUUUCCUAUGAAUUGGACAAGAGUCAGCCGGAGGAGUCAGGUUUCCAAAUCUAUCGCCUCUGAUUUCAGCCAGAGCCCGAGGCAACACAGCUCCAGUCGUGACUCAGGAUUCUGUGAGUGAAAGCAAGCACGUCAAGUGAUGUCACGGUGCAGGGAGGCUGGAACUCUAGUGGGAAGUCCGACGAGAUCCCGGACUGGAUUACAGGCACCUGCCUCCAUGUCAGCUCUUCAGCUGUGGCUCCCAUCACAAAGCCACAAAUUCUGGCCACUCCAGGGAGUCCUCCGCUCCUCCUUGCCCUCAACGGAGCAGAUUCUCAAAGGCAUUCAGUGGAUUGCUUUCCCCCAAUCAUCUUUUGCAAGAAAUGCACCUCACAUUCCAGCUAUCCAGGGAACCAGGUGUGGCAACUCGUGACUUCUUGGCCUACCUGUCCGAACGUCCUGGCCUACGUGAUGAACCUGAACCACGUGACUUGGAACACGCGGCAAAAAUCUCAUUUCCCUACCCCCCAAGCCCUCAUUCAGGGGCUAUAUAAACAGCAACCAUGAUCCUAAUAAAGGGGGCUUUGACAAAUCUGCUUGGCCUCAUUCUUCUGUCCUAGCUCAUUCCCUUCCAGGUAGCGCCCCUUCGAGACCCUGGAAUAACUGAUUGCAGGGUGGGUUACAAACCCCUAGACUGAGUAACCCACCCAACGCAA
This is a long non-coding RNA of Alexandromys fortis (reed vole), 790 nucleotides long. RefSeq lists it as uncharacterized. The transcript has 3 exons. The record is from RefSeq and is a predicted model, not a curated record. NCBI's taxonomy places the organism in Eukaryota, Metazoa, Chordata, Mammalia, Rodentia, Cricetidae.